Molecule: unclassified non-coding RNA, 204 nt
Filed under: soil metagenome
Description: partial contains 5.8S ribosomal RNA, internal transcribed spacer 2, and large subunit ribosomal RNA
Source: RNAcentral
AACAAGGCGUACCUGCGGACCUGCGGAAGGAUCAUUACCGAGUUUACAACUCCCAAACCCCUGUGAACAUACCACUUGUUGCCUCGGCGGAUCAGCCCGCUCCCGGUAAAACGGGACGGCCCGCCAGAGGACCCCUAAACUCUGUUUCUAUAUGUAACUUCUGAGUAAAACCAUAAAUAAAUCAAAACUUUCAACAACGGAUCU